Molecule: ribosomal RNA, 447 nt
Filed under: uncultured bacterium
Lineage: Bacteria
Description: bacterial SSU rRNA
Rfam family: Bacterial small subunit ribosomal RNA
Source: RNAcentral
UGGGGAAUAUUGGACAAUGGGCGCAAGCCUGAUCCAGCCAUGCCGCGUGAGUGACGAAGGUCUUCGGAUUGUAAAGCUCUUUUGGCGGGGACGAUAAUGACGGUACCCGAAGAAGAAGCUCCGGCUAACUUCGUGCCAGCAGCCGCGGUAAUACGAAGGGAGCUAGCGUUGUUCGGAAUCACUGGGCGUAAAGCGCACGUAGGCGGAUAGUUAAGUCAGGGGUGAAAUCCUGGGGCUCAACCCCAGAACUGCCUUUGAUACUGGCUGUCUCGAGGUCGAGAGAGGUUGGUGGAAUUCCUAGUGUAGAGGUGAAAUUCGUAGAUAUUAGGAAGAACACCAGUGGCGAAGGCGGCCAACUGGCUCGAUACUGACGCUGAGGUGCGAAAGCGUGGGGAGCAAACAGGAUUAGAUACCCCCGUAGUCCCUGAGCGGGCUGGCAAGGCGCAU